RNAcentral lists this ribosomal RNA (322 nucleotides) under uncultured eukaryote. RNAcentral's name for it is "partial 18S ribosomal RNA". It matches the Rfam family "Eukaryotic small subunit ribosomal RNA", at positions 1470 to 1796 of the family's 1831-position model. The record is from RNAcentral.
CCCUUAGAUGUUCUGGGCCGCACACGCGCUACACUGAAGGAGGCAGCGUGUACUCCUGGAUCGAAAGAUUUGGGUAACCCGCGAAUCUCCUUCGUGCUAGGGAUUGAGGUUUGCAAUUAUCCUUCAUGAACGAGGAAUUCCCAGUAAGUGCAAGUCAUAAGCUUGCGCUGACUACGUCCCUGCCCUUUGUACACACCGCCCGUCGCUACUACCGAUUGAGUGCUCAGGUGAAUAAUUCGGACUGCAGCAGUGUUUGGAUCCCGAACGCUGCAGCGGAAAGUUUAGUGAACCUUAUCACUUAGAGGAAGGAGAAGUCGUAACA